AUGCAUCUCUGACAGAUCUGAAACAGUACUGUCUGCUGCUGGGGUUUCCACUACAGAUGCAAGAAAAACGUGGCCUCCUUCUUUCUGUCUGACUGUGGCACCCAAGGUUGAAUAGAGUAACACAGGG
RNAcentral lists this small nucleolar RNA (127 nucleotides) under Propithecus coquereli (Coquerel's sifaka). RNAcentral describes it as "Small nucleolar RNA SNORA31 (ENSPCOG00000006577.1)". Lineage: Eukaryota; Metazoa; Chordata; Mammalia; Primates; Indriidae. The record is from RNAcentral.